CGCGGCAGGCUUAACACAUGCAAGUCGAGCGCCUCGCAAGAGGAGCGGCAGACGGGUGAGUAACGCGUGGGAAUCUACCCAUCUCUACGGAACAACAGUUGGAAACGACUGCUAAUACCGUAUACGCCCUUCGGGGGAAAGAUUUAUCGGAGAUGGAUGAGCCCGCGUUGGAUUAGCUAGUUGGUGGGGUAAAGGCCUACCAAGGCGACGAUCCAUAGCUGGUCUGAGAGGAUGAUCAGCCACACUGGGACUGAGACACGGCCCAGACUCCUACGGGAGGCAGCAGUGGGGAAUAUUGGACAAUGGGCGCAAGCCUGAUCCAGCCAUGCCGCGUGAGUGAAGAAGGCCCUAGGGUUGUAAAGCUCUUUCACCGGUGAAGAUAAUGACGGUAACCGGAGAAGAAGCCCCG
RNAcentral lists this ribosomal RNA (409 nucleotides) under uncultured Alphaproteobacteria bacterium. RNAcentral's name for it is "bacterial SSU rRNA". It matches the Rfam family "Bacterial small subunit ribosomal RNA", at positions 39 to 495 of the family's 1533-position model. The record is from RNAcentral. Lineage: Bacteria; Pseudomonadati; Pseudomonadota; Alphaproteobacteria.